UACGUAGGGUGCGAGCGUUAAUCGGAAUUACUGGGCGUAAAGCGUGCGCAGGCGGUUACUUAAGUCAGGGGUGAAAGCCCUGGGCUUAACCUAGGAAUUGCGCUUGAGACUGGGUAGCUUUGAGUGUGGCAGAGGGAGGUGGAAUUCCACGUGUAGCAGUGAAAUGCGUAGAGAUGUGGAGGAACACCGAUGGCGAAGGCAGCCUCCUGGGCCAGCACUGACGCUCAUGCACGAAAGCGUGGGGAGCAAACAGG
This 254-nucleotide ribosomal RNA is filed under the name uncultured bacterium. Its description in RNAcentral is "partial 16S ribosomal RNA". It matches the Rfam family "Bacterial small subunit ribosomal RNA", at positions 524 to 776 of the family's 1533-position model. The record is from RNAcentral.